Molecule: ribosomal RNA, 317 nt
Filed under: uncultured cyanobacterium
Lineage: Bacteria; Bacillati; Cyanobacteriota
Description: bacterial SSU rRNA
Rfam family: Bacterial small subunit ribosomal RNA
Source: RNAcentral
GAAUUUUCCGCAAUGGGCGCAAGCCUGACGGAGCAACGCCGCGUGAGGGAGGAAUGUCUGUGGAUUGUAAACCUUUUUUUUCUGGGAAGAAGAUCUGACGGUACCAGAGGAAUCAGCAUCGGCUAACUCCGUGCCAGCAGCCGCGGUAAGACGGAGGAUGCAAGCGUUAUCCGGAAUUAUUGGGCGUAAAGCGUCCGUAGGCGGUUUUUUAAGUCAGUUGUUAAAGACUGCAGCUCAACUGUGGGAGAGCAAUUGAAACUGAGAGACUAGAGUAUGGUAGGGGUAGAGGGAAUUCCUAGUGUAGCGGUGAAAUGCGU